AAAGCACUUUUAUCAGGAGCGAAAUGCUACCGGCUAAUACCCGGUGGAGCUGACGGUACCUGAGGAAUAAGCACCGGCUAACUUCGUGCCAGCAGCCGCGGUAAUACGAAGGGUGCAAGCGUUAAUCGGAAUUACUGGGCGUAAAGGGUGCGUAGGCGGUUAUUUAAGUCUGCCGUGAAAUCCCCGGGCUCAACCUGGGAAUGGCGGUGGAUACUGGAUAGCUAGAGUGUGUCAGAGGAUGGUGGAAUUCCCGGUGUAGCGGUGAAAUGCGUAGAGAUCGGGAGGAACAUCAGUGGCGAAGGCGGCCAUCUGGGACAACACUGACGCUGAAGCACGAAAGCGUGGGGAGCAAACAGGAUUAGAUACCCUGGUAGUCCACGCCCUAAACGAUGCGAACUGGAUGUUGGUCUCAACUCGGAGAUCAGUGUCGAAGCAAACGCGUUAAGUUCGCCGCCUGGGGAGUACGGUCGCAAGACUGAAACUCA
RNAcentral lists this ribosomal RNA (485 nucleotides) under uncultured bacterium. RNAcentral's name for it is "bacterial SSU rRNA". It matches the Rfam family "Bacterial small subunit ribosomal RNA", at positions 427 to 903 of the family's 1533-position model. The record is from RNAcentral.